GGAGACAUAGCUCAGCUGGGAGAGCGAGCGACUGAAGUUCAGUCAUCAGACCAUGUGGAUCGAAGGGUUCACUUGUUUAUCGCUAGGUCGGGUGUUCAAUCCACUCUGGCUCCA
This is a non-coding RNA of Apiotrichum porosum, 114 nucleotides long. NCBI's taxonomy places the organism in Eukaryota, Fungi, Basidiomycota, Tremellomycetes, Trichosporonales, Trichosporonaceae. The record is from the annotation of a RefSeq genome assembly.